ACUAUUCUGCUGAAGGGAAGAGGGAUGAAUAAAUCUUCCCAACACUCUGCUAGGGGAAGAAGCCACAAAAGGCUCAGGAGGAAGAGUACACCAACAUGCCAGGAAUAUGAAUAACUGCCUUACCCUGUCAAGAAUCUUACCAUCUUUGGGAGAGCACUGAAGACAUCCCCAGUAUCCCUUUCAUCAUUGUGAAUGUUCACUUUGUUUAAAAA
This 212-nucleotide long non-coding RNA is filed under the name Lathyrus oleraceus (garden pea). Its description in RNAcentral is "Pisum sativum (pea) long non-coding RNA (PSAT_LNC005773)". The record is from RNAcentral. Lineage: Eukaryota; Viridiplantae; Streptophyta; Magnoliopsida; Fabales; Fabaceae.